This 222-nucleotide unclassified non-coding RNA is filed under the name uncultured bacterium. RNAcentral's name for it is "contains 16S-23S intergenic spacer region". The record is from RNAcentral.
UCCGGCUUAUCACCGGCGGUUUCUUUAGAGUGCCCAACUAAAUGAUGGCAACUAAAGACGAGGGUUGCGCUCGUUGCGGGACUUAACCCAACAUCUCACGACACGAGCUGACGACAGCCAUGCACCACCUGUGAUCGCGUCCCGAAGGAAAGGUGUGUUUCCACACCGGUCGCGAACAUGUCAAGCCCAGGUAAGGUGGGGAUGACGUCGGAGAGUACGUCC